Roridomyces roridus is the source of this 83-nucleotide non-coding RNA. NCBI's taxonomy places the organism in Eukaryota, Fungi, Basidiomycota, Agaricomycetes, Agaricales, Mycenaceae. The record is from the annotation of a GenBank genome assembly.
GGCCUUGUGGUCCAGAGGCAAGAUACUUGCUUUGGGCUUUGUAGUAACUGCAAGUGACCUGGGUUCGAUUCCCAGCAAGGCCC